GACGAACGCUGGCGGCGUGCUUAACACAUGCAAGUCGAACGAAGAGCGACGGAAGCUUGCUUCUAUCAAUCUUAGUGGCGAACGGGUGAGUAACGCGUAAUCAACCUGCCCUUCAGAGGGGGACAACAGUUGGAAACGACUGCUAAUACCGCAUACGAUCUAACCUCGGCAUCGAGGAUAGAUGAAAGGUGGCCUCUACAUGUAAGCUAUCACUGAAGGAGGGGAUUGCGUCUGAUUAGCUAGUUGGAGGGGUAACGGCCCACCAAGGCGAUGAUCAGUAGCGGGCAGGAAGGGAGGAGCGCCACCAUGGGGCGUAGACAAGGCCCAAACAUCCGAGGGGGGGCAGCGGUGGGGAUCUUCCCGAAAGGGAGGAAGGGCGUAGGGGGAACCGCGGGGGGGGGAAGGACGGCCUUGGGGUUGAAAAGUCUGGUUAGCCGGGACGAAAGGCUUUUUUGCAAAAAGGGAGAGGGAUUGAGGGACCCGAAAAAAAAAGCCACGGCAAACUCCGUG
Molecule: ribosomal RNA, 510 nt
Filed under: uncultured bacterium
Lineage: Bacteria
Description: partial 16S ribosomal RNA
Rfam family: Bacterial small subunit ribosomal RNA
Source: RNAcentral